AGUGAACGCUGGCGGUAGGCCUAACACAUGCAAGUCGAACGGCAGCACAGUAAGAGCUUGCUCUUACGGGUGGCGAGUGGCGGACGGGUGAGGAAUACAUCGGAAUCUACUUUUUCGUGGGGGAUAACGUAGGGAAACUUACGCUAAUACCGCAUACGACCUACGGGUGAAAUCAGGGGAUCUUCGGACCUUGCGCGAUUGAAUGAGCCGAUGUCGGAUUAGCUAGUUGGCUGGGUAAAGGCCCACCAAGGCGACGAUCCGUAGCUGGUCUGAGAGGAUGAUCAGCCACACUGGAACUGAGACACGGUCCAGACUCCUACGGGAGGCAGCAGUGGGGAAUAUUGGACAAUGGGCGCAAGCCUGAUCCAGCCAUACCGCGUGGGUGAAGAAGGCCUUCGGGUUGUAAAGCCCUUUUGUUGGGAAAGAAAAGCAGCAGGUUAAUACCCCGCUGUUCUGACGGUACCCAAAGAAUAAGCACCGGCUAACUUCGUG
RNAcentral lists this ribosomal RNA (492 nucleotides) under uncultured bacterium. Its description in RNAcentral is "partial 16S ribosomal RNA". It matches the Rfam family "Bacterial small subunit ribosomal RNA", at positions 29 to 507 of the family's 1533-position model. The record is from RNAcentral.